AGUGAACGCUGGCGGUAGGCCUAACACAUGCAAGUCGAACGGCAGCACAGGAGAGCUUGCUCUCUGGGUGGCGAGUGGCGGACGGGUGAGGAAUACAUCGGAAUCUACUCUGUCGUGGGGGAUAACGUAGGGAAACUUACGCUAAUACCGCAUACGACCUACGGGUGAAAGCAGGGGCUCUUCGGACCUUGCGCGAUUGAAUGAGCCGAUGUCGGAUUAGCUAGUUGGCGGGGUAAAGGCCCACCAAGGCGACGAUCCGUAGCUGGUCUGAGAGGAUGAUCAGCCACACUGGAACUGAGACACGGACCAGCCUCCUACGGGAGUCAGCAAUGGGGAAUAUUGGACAAUGGGCGCAAGCCUGAUCCAGCCAUACCGCGUGGGUGAAGAAGGCCUUCGGGUUGUAAAGCCCUUUUGUUGGGAAAGAAAUCCAGCUGGCUAAUACCCGGUUGGGAUGACGGUACCCAAAGAAUAAGCACCGGCUAACGGCGUGCCAGCCGCCGCCGUAA
This 506-nucleotide ribosomal RNA is filed under the name uncultured bacterium. Its description in RNAcentral is "partial 16S ribosomal RNA". It matches the Rfam family "Bacterial small subunit ribosomal RNA", at positions 29 to 523 of the family's 1533-position model. The record is from RNAcentral.